RNAcentral lists this long non-coding RNA (490 nucleotides) under Elaeis guineensis (African oil palm). RNAcentral describes it as "long non-coding RNA (EGUI_LNC005205)". The record is from RNAcentral. Lineage: Eukaryota; Viridiplantae; Streptophyta; Magnoliopsida; Arecales; Arecaceae.
ACCUCUGACCUUUUGCAUCUGAUCUCCUAUGUCCAUUAUUUUGAUUUGCUUUAUCUCUACCUCAUCCUCCUCUUCCAUGGCCAUGGCCAUGCUCAUAGCCUCUACCAUGGCCUCGAACUCUACUAUGGCCCUGAUCGCUUGGGUUUCCAUCAUCUUUUGAGCUUUCCUAUGCUUCUUUUAAUGAGAUCUUCAUUUGAAGAGCAUGUUCCACUGCUUCCUGUUUCUUCUUGUUGAUGCGAUGCUCGUGGGCUUACAAUGAUCUCAUAAGCUCAUCCACUGAUAUCUUCUCUAAAUUUUUUGAUUCUUUAAUGGUUGCAACAGCAUAAUCAAAUUUAUCAUCUAACAACCAUAAAAUUCUCCUCGCAGCAUUUGAAGAUGAAUUUUUUUCACCUGUCAACACCUUUGAAGGUCUUCUAAAGAAUCUCCCAUGCUUCCUUAGAGGUUGUUGUGGUGAAGAUCUUCUUGAAAUUAGCUUCAUCUACACCUUGAU